RNAcentral lists this transfer RNA (72 nucleotides) under Holdemanella biformis. RNAcentral describes it as "tRNA-Gln". It matches the Rfam family "tRNA". Rfam says of the family: Transfer RNA (tRNA) molecules are approximately 80 nucleotides in length. Their secondary structure includes four short double-helical elements and three loops (D, anti-codon, and T loops). Lineage: Bacteria; Bacillati; Bacillota; Erysipelotrichia; Erysipelotrichales; Erysipelotrichaceae. RNAcentral also lists the same sequence under 3 other names. The record is from RNAcentral.
UGCCCCUUAGCCAAGUGGUCAAGGCACAGGAUUUUGAUUCCUGUAUCGUGGGUUCAAAUCCCACAGGGGUAG